Molecule: ribosomal RNA, 468 nt
Filed under: uncultured bacterium
Lineage: Bacteria
Description: bacterial SSU rRNA
Rfam family: Bacterial small subunit ribosomal RNA
Source: RNAcentral
UGGGGAAUAUUGCGCAAUGGACGAAAGUCUGACGCAGCCACGCCGCGUGUGCGAUGAAGGUCUUCGGAUCGUAAAGCACUGUGGGGGGAGAAGAAACAAGCCGGUGAAGAGCCGGCCCUGACGGUAUCCCCUUAGCAAGCACCGGCUAACUCCGUGCCAGCAGCCGCGGUAAUACGGAGGGUGCAAACGUUGCUCGGAAUCAUUGGGCGUAAAGCGCACGUAGGCGGCCUAUCAAGUCGGAUGUGAAAGCCCUGGGCUCAACCCAGGAAGUGCGUCCGAAACUGACAGGCUUGAAUGCCGGAGGGGCCCAGAGAAUUCCCGGUGUAGAGGUGAAAUUCGUAGAUAUCGGGAGGAAUACCAGUGGCGAAGGCGCUGGGCUGGACGGCGAUUGACGCUGAGGUGCGAAAGCGUGGGGAGCAAACAGGAUUAGAUACCCACGUAGUCCCUGAGCGGGCUGGCAAGGCGCAU